AUCAGAAAAUAAAAUUUGGGUGUAAAAAUUCCCUGAAAAUUCAGAAUAUGAUUAAUUUCUUAAAAUGAGUGCCCCUCAGGCAUUUAAAUAUAUGAUUCAAUUUGUUAAAAUUAGAUUUACACAUUUGACACAUGUGGAUUUGAAGACAUGUGAGUGUUUCUCCUUCCUACUUGCUAGAUGAAGAAACACACAGACGGCUUCUCUGUAUAAUAUACAACCGUGUUUAACUUGAAAUAUCAAUUUGGCAAGGUAAUUGAAGUAUACAUGGCAAGAGCAAUUUUUAAUGUGUUUAUAGUUCCAUGCCUUGUAACAAAAAAAAAGUGGAACAAAGUUAGAUUAGUUAACACUCUACUUGAGCAAUACUCUUCUUUAUCUGGGUGGGAAUCACACGAGCCCUUGAAAGCAGAAAAGGAAGGCAGAUGAGAUGCGGCAGAAGGGGAGGCCGAGUGAUAGGAAACCCUCCAUUGCUGGCUUUGAAGAUGAGAUGGUCAUGGGCCAGGGAAUGUGGGCCGCCUCUAGCAGUUGAGAGCUCCCCACUGCUGCCAACCAGCCAGGAAAUGGAGACCUCAGUCCUGCAACCAUUAGAACUGAUUUCUAUCAACACCUGGGAUGAGCCUAGAAGUGGAUUCUUCCUCAGAAGCUCUACAGGGAACACAGGGCAACUGACACUUUGAUCCCCUUAUUAGAUUCUAAUCAUAUUACAUAGCUGAGUCUGCUGGAUUUCUGAUCUGCAGAACUGUGAGAUAAUAUGUGGGUGUUGUCCUAAGCGGCUAAAUUUGUGACAAUAGAAAACCAAUACACUCUCCCUCCAUCCACCCAUUCAGCAAAUAUUUAUUAAUCUCAGGAAGUGCUAAGAACAAUUGCUGAGCUGUUGAUAAAGCAGUGAAAAAAAAGACAAAAGUCCCUGCCUUCAUGGAAUUUACAUUUAGUAACAAUACCUACAUUAAAACAAACAACAAACAAACAAACAAACCCUAGCUUUCAGCUCAUUGCUGUUGGAUCUCACAGGACUAUUAAGAUUAGAACAAGACUAGACCUAUUAGGCAGUCCUCAUGAUGGGAAAUGCAACAGGUGAUGUAUCAUCCUCCCUGACCAUAUGUCAUACACAUUUGGGUGGACUCGCAAAUCUAGUUGGUAGGUAGCUUCAGGACAAAUGGUCUCUAAUGCGCUUUGGUUGGGUUUAUAAGCAAGAUAUACAUAUCAUCACGUGGUCCUUAGCAAAGAUUUAGCAAAAAUCAUAUACAUU
This 1246-nucleotide long non-coding RNA is filed under the name Homo sapiens (human). Its description in RNAcentral is "non-protein coding lnc-PRKN-9:3". Lineage: Eukaryota; Metazoa; Chordata; Mammalia; Primates; Hominidae. The record is from RNAcentral.